AAGAAACUAGACUCAAAAGAUAUAUUCUUUCAAUGCUGGACAGAAUGAAGAAAAGAAUGAAUGAGUGAAUAUGGAGUAUAAAGAUGGGAGCCAUCUUUUUCUGAGCAAGACCUGCACUCCAAGUGAUUUUGCUUCUGGGACCAAAUUAUGCAGUCAUUGGCAUCGGACUGUCUUAGCAAAAUUAAUGAAAACAUAAUUAAAUUUCAAGUUACCGACAGAACUGGCUCACAAAUUUCCUGAAGAUUUAACAAUGGGCUCUCGUGUGCUUGGUAAAGAAGAGGUGAUACACAAACAUUCGGAGCUGCACACAAGAUAAAUGCUUUCAUUACAAAAGCAUUCUCUGGAUUACAAAAGGAUCCACAAUAAUUCACAUAAUGCUCUUUUGCGCCUCUAUGUUCUUUUUGCUCAUUCUGUCUCACCUGUCUUUUUACAGAGCAAGGUCCUGAACUAUGCUUAAAACAUAAUUUCAUUUACAGAAAAUCCUUUAUAUA
This 491-nucleotide long non-coding RNA is filed under the name Equus caballus (horse). RNAcentral's name for it is "lncRNA (ENSECAG00000049059.1)". Lineage: Eukaryota; Metazoa; Chordata; Mammalia; Perissodactyla; Equidae. The record is from RNAcentral.